CCGCGCGGCAGUCGGUAACGCGCGCUCGCGGGGACGGCCGUGUCGACCCCGCGUCUGAGCGCUCGCGAGUGUUGUGACACGCAGUGAAGUGCAAACGCGCUCCAUACUAUAGCUCUCCUCUUAUAGUAUUGUUCGAGUGACGCUUCGCUCAAGCAUGCUGAUGGUACAGACCAACGCCCAACCCAUGAAGACCAGCAAACUGAAGGGGCCGCCACCCGUGCCACCGCGGCCCAACCAGAGUGUGGUAGCUGAGGCCCUUGCGAAGACGAGGAAGGCCGUUGCUGAAUCCAAGGUCAAUCUAUCGAAGUCGCGGGUGAAACCAGACACCACUGCAAAAGCCAAAACAUUAGAACGAACCAAUGCCGUGAAUCAGACCACUGUUUCGCCCAAACAGAACGGUUUAGCACGAGUUAAGUCGUUCAUCCGCGAUGUCAUCAGUGAUCGAAGCUCUUCUUCCGACGAACGAAGGUCUAGCGGACAAAACUCUAGGCGGAGUUCGAGCGACAGUAGCUCGAUACCGACGCCGGCGCCGACGAAAAGAUCUAACGAGUCCCUAAACUCUAAAGCGGUGAAAACAUGUAAACAAAUUUUAGUGCGAUCUCUUUCCACGUCUAACAAGUUAGACCAAGACGCUAAGUGUAAAGUGACGAAAUCGUCAAGUUUUGCUGAGAAAACAUUGCCAUUGAGGAAAGCUCCUCCUCCGCCUUUAUCACCUAAACCUAAGUUGAAACCAAUGAAGCCUUUACCUAUACAGAAAAAGUCUACAAGCAGUAACCGUAGUUCCCCAAAGCAAUCGCCGGAUAUAAGUCCUUAUUCAUCACCAAUAGAUGCGAAGCCCCCACAGAGCCCUUUAUCAGAAGCGCCCUAUGCUACUGUGGAGGAAGUUCAGGAAUUUGAUGAUAGAUUACGUAACAGUCCUUCUAAGCAAGUCAAUAACACUCCGGAUACGCGCGAGGUUUCUACAAGCCCGAAACGUGACGACAAUGUAAAUAAAAAUACCAAUUCCUUAGAGCGAAAAACGUCAAGGGUCACCGAAUUGUUAAUUUCAGAAAUACUUGCGAGUCGAAACAAGGACGAUGCAAAUAUUGUUAUCGACAAAGGCAAAGAUUCUGAGAAUCUAAAUGGUGUUGAUUCGCCGGAAAUUGAGUUGAUGAAGGACAUGAACAACCACGAGAUGUUGAUUUAUGAGUUGCAGACGAUGCACUCGCAGUCCAGUGUUCCCAGCGCGUUAGAAGCGAAGGACAUUAAUGAAAGAAACGGACAUUGUGAUUCUGAGGAUUCGGAACAGAAUUAUGCUAUGUCUUCUGUCACAAGUGGAAAUACAGACGAUGGAUACGACCAAGCUUACGCUUACAUUUUGGACGAUGACCUCAAGUCUAGACUUCGCAAGCAGUUCCGCGCUAUCAGCACCAUGUCGCUCCAAGGGCUGCCUCCUCUGCCCAAGAGCCUCAGCGGAUUCGCAGAGGGAGAACCUGAGGACCAGGAGCCUCCGUCCUCGCCCUCCGAUCCGCCCCCCACUGACCUCGACUCGCAGCUCACGUAUCUGAAGAAAGAAAUGGCGUCGCUCCGGCAGCUGGACCUGUCCCUGCUCUCGGAGCUGUGGUCACUGAGCGAGGCUAUGGCGUCGUGGCGGCGUCAGCUCGAGCGCACGCCCCGGCUGCGGCCCGCGCCGCCGCCGCCGCCCCCGCCGCACUACUUAAGAACGUAAUAAAUAUAUUAAAUGGAUUAAGCAACACUUGUUUCAAUUGUACACCUUUCUUGAGAGGCUGAUUUACACGUGAUAACUAGAUAAGUAGGUAUAGCCUGACCAGGAACAUAAAAACCCUCGCCAUAUUGCGGAAAACUAAUGGUACUAAUUUCUUUUAAUGGCAACAGUAACUGAAAACUUCAUUGUCAUGUCACCUUGCAUGUCAGUCUAUUGCUGUCAAAGUGUAAACAAACUUUAUUUUAAAUGUGCGCAAUUGAUUUUGUGAAUUAAAUUGCUAAAAUCUUUUUAUAGUCGUGAAAGAAAAGUGGUUUACAAUGUGUUAAAGUAUUUGUCGCAGAGAAAUACUAAGGGUUCGGACAAUAUUUUCAUUGAAUAAUGUUUCCGACAAAGGUUGUCAAAUUGACUGACAUGUUUAUCGCAUAGUACAGUCCACUAUGAAAAUUAGCUGUGGUUUGUUUCAACUACCUAUUUUAAAAAAAUUUGUCACUUUCUAAGUGUUGAAUUUUAUGGAAUUGGGAAAGAAGUACCGAGUUUGAAGCGUUCAUGAGCAAACAUUGCAGUUGAAUAUUCAAGUUCUGAAUUUGAUUAUUGAUGAAUAAUAAAAUAAAUCCUACUAGCUCGAUUGAUGGUUUCAUUUAAUUUAUUUAAACCAGGCUACCUAUAAUAAUAUUUUUUCGUUAAUUUAUGAAAAUAUCAAAUUAGCCCGUAAUCCUGAAUCCUGAUACAUAAAGUUAGCCUAUUAAUUUAACAUAGGUACGACUGUACUCAGUGUUGCACUAUCAAAUGCAAUUGACGCGCCUCUAUGCCAGGGUUUUUAUGUUCCUGGUCAGGCUAUAUGCAAAAUCACUUGAAACCUAUGUUACAGUUAGGCUUUUACAUUUACAAAUACAUUAGUUUUUAUUUCAUUCAAAAAUACCCAGUAGUUAUGAUUUAUAGGCAUUCAAAGUUCGCUUAAAUAUUGAGUGCCGCCGACGGUCACGUGACCCCGCGUGACGUACAUUCACAGUAUCCGCUCACUAGAAAACGGAUAUAAACAUACUUAAAUACAUUUUUUUUUUGUAAAUACAAACUUAUUAUACAUAUUAACACCCAGACCCAUCACAGAAAUUAAAAUUGAACCAAACCCAAAUUUGAUGCGA
Molecule: RNA transcript, 2847 nt
Organism: Ostrinia nubilalis (European corn borer)
Lineage: Eukaryota; Metazoa; Arthropoda; Insecta; Lepidoptera; Crambidae
Gene: lmgA
Gene name: anaphase-promoting complex subunit 11-like
Exons: 4
Source: RefSeq, a predicted model, not a curated record